CCAUCUGUACAUCUUGUCAGGUUUUUGAUGAGCUUUACUUUAAUAUUUAAAUCUAGCAGUGCUUUGUUCCCUCAUCUUGAGUCAUCUGAUCAUUUGAGUCUGAUUUUGAAUGUUUGCAUGGAGUUGAUCAAUAUUUAAUAAAGCAGAUAUUUCCAUGAGCACUCAGUGAGUUUAAUAAGUUCAUGUCAGAUCCUUGUUGUCUUGUUGUGUUCUGUACGUUUCUGAGACUUUUCUGAGCAGCACUCUGGACUCUGCGUGUCCACCAUUCAGCUGGAUUAUCAUAUUCAUAUUUCAGAUGAGAACAGAGGUGAGAAACAUAAAGUGUGUUCAUAAAGUCAUGUAUUUCCCUCUGUGUGAUGUGACUCUGAGCUGCAGACCAAGAGUCACAAUGUCUUCCUUCCACCUCACAGCUGAUUUCUAUAAAGAUGGCGUCUUCAUCAGGAGCAGCUCCACAGGAAACAUGACCAUCCACAGUGUUUCUCCAUCUGAUGAAGGACUCUACAGAUGUAACUGUGUCUCUGGAGCUGGAGGAUCAGCAGACAGCUGGCUGACUGUCAGAGCGCCUCCUGCAGGCCGUGAUCCUCCACCUCCUCUGCUGUCUGUCUCCGCUCUGCUGCGCCACCUGGUGGCUGGAGCUCCUUACCUGCUGUCCACCAUCUUACUGGGACUCAUUUACAGAGACAGAGCGAGAGAAAGACAUAACUACUGUUCCUGCUGCUGUUCAUUACUGGGCAGGGUUUGUCCCUGAUUUGGAAUGGCGUAACAUCUGGAGUCUACCUUAUAAGUAUCUGCUCACUAAUAAAGUGAGAGAAGUGACCUUUAAGCUGAGGCACAGACACUACCCUGCUAAACAGUAUCUGCUAACAUUUAAAAAGGACCUGUGUGUUGACUGAUCGUUAUGUGAUGUGUUUCCUGAAACUGCUGUCCAUCUUUUUUUGGCAAUGUCUCCACUCUAGUAAGUUUUGGAAAGACUUCACCCAUUUUAUUGUUGUUAAGAUAGACUCUGACUUUGGUUUAUAUUGGAAAGAUGUAUUGUUUGGUGUCCAUAGCAACGAAAAGAAAAGACAUAGAAAAUGAUAUAUUAUUAACUUAUUAAUUAUUUUAGGAAAAUGCCACAUUCAUGAGGAUAAAUUUAGUAACGCAAAACCUUCAUUUAUUGCAUUUGAAAAGGAAAGCAAACAAUAUGUAAAAACUAUUAGUGAUUCAAACAAUAAGAAAGCUGCUAAAACUCAUGAGUUAUGUACUUUGCUUAAUAUUUUCAAAUGAAACGCCCACUGGCUGCUAUGUUGUUGUAUAUUAACGACUGUGUAUCUGUGUUUUUCUAUUGUUUGUUUGUAAUGUUUCCUGUAAAUCAAUCAAAUAAAAUAAAAACUCUGCAGGAGAAGAACUGACGAGCUUACAGGAGUUAUUUAUCUUCAAAUGCCGGUAAGUAGGGUUUGCAGCAUGUGCACGUUGUUAGAAUAGAUGUGUAUUUUAAAUAUGACAAAAUAUUGCUUUCACAGUAGCAAAGUUAAUGUUUACAACAGCAAAAUUAUUAUAUAAACUGAACAAUAUCUCAGUAGGAAGAAAUACUCUAGUCAGCCUUGGCUGCAGCCUCUCUCAGCAACCAGUCUCCUUCAAACCAUCAGCGCUACAGCAGGUCAGUCACAGUGAGCCAGUUCCAAGCGCUGUCAGCAAUCUUUGCAUCUUGUUAUUAUCACAUAACACUUGUUUAAUCAGCUACCAUCUCUCCCAUGCUUGUUUUAAUAUCUACAGUCUCAGAUCAACACAGCCCUCCAAGACUUCAAGCAGCAGCAGCCCCAGCAACCCCUCAACAGCAACUGUAUACCCCAUCAGCACCUGCCCCUCCAAAGGUCUCUGCACGGCCCUGUCUCACAGAAAUACGUGAAAUGACCACGACCUCUUAACACCACAUUCCGUGGUGGCAGCACGUGAUGGGUUGAAAUUACGUGCCGGUACCACGGAAACAAUGCCAAUGUAAAGUCAGUUAGGAUCCAUUGUCGUGGUGGACACACGGAUUCCCUGAUUCAACAACGUCACAUCAACCUGGUUUUCCUCAGUGAUGUCUUUAACAUUCCUGUACACACACAAAAACAUGAAAGUGUCCUUGAUAACUCAACAAUAUGACAGGUUAAUGUCAAGGCCAUGAAAUAAAAUCAAUGUAUUUUGCCAGCUUUUGAUAGCGUAGGGCUUUAAGAGCAUUGUGCUGUGGGCGGAUGGAGCACGUUCCACUACUGUUUUGUAGCUACUGUCUGCCGUCUGUGGGCUUCAUUCCAUUUCAAAUUGCCGUCCGUCUGCCGUAACCGAAUCCAAAUGCUACUAAUAAAUAAAUAAAUAAGAAGAAAAAAAUAAGGCUGAGCACGGAAGAACCAGAGAGGAUUUUAUUCU
RNA transcript from Epinephelus fuscoguttatus (brown-marbled grouper), 2388 nucleotides. RefSeq lists it as uncharacterized. The record is from RefSeq and is a predicted model, not a curated record. NCBI's taxonomy places the organism in Eukaryota, Metazoa, Chordata, Actinopteri, Perciformes, Serranidae. The transcript has 4 exons.